RNAcentral lists this ribosomal RNA (801 nucleotides) under uncultured bacterium. RNAcentral describes it as "bacterial SSU rRNA". It matches the Rfam family "Bacterial small subunit ribosomal RNA", at positions 8 to 796 of the family's 1533-position model. The record is from RNAcentral.
AGAGUUUGAUCAUGGCUCAGAACGAACGCUGGCGGCGUGGAUAAGACAUGCAAGUCGAACGGGUUUAGUUUCGGAGCAAUUCGCAAUUAGGCCAGUGGCGAACGGGUGCGUAACACGUGAGUCAUCUGCCUGAAAGUGGGGGAUAGCUCGUCGAAAGGCGAAUUAAUACCGCAUAUGCCCCGAAGCAAUUCGGGGUAAAGCCGGGGCAACCUGGCGCUUUUAGAGGAACUCGCGGCCUAUCAGCUUGUUGGUGAGGUAACGGCUUACCAAGGCUUCGACGGGUAGCUGGUCUGAGAGGACGACCAGCCACACUGGAACUGAGACACGGUCCAGACACCUACGGGUGGCAGCAGUCGAGAAUUUUUCUCAAUGGGGGAAACCCUGAAGGAGCGACGCCGCGUGGAGGAUGAAUGCUUUCGGGUUGUAAACUCCUGUCAUUUGGGAACGAGGCCUUACGUUAACUGCGUGGAGGUUUGAUAGUACCGAAAGAGGAAGAGACGGCUAACUCUGUGCCAGCAGCCGCGGUAAUACAGAGGUCUCAAGCGUUGUUCGGAUUCAUUGGGCGUAAAGGGCGCGUAGGCUGCGGGGUAAGUCGGGUGUGAAAUCUCAGAGCUCAACUCUGAAACUGCACUCGAUACUGCUUUGCUUGAGGACUGGAGAGGAGACUGGAAUUCACGGUGUAGCAGUGAAAUGCGUAGAUAUCGUGAGGAAGACCAGUGGCGAAGGCGGGUCUCUGGACAGUUCCUGACGCUGAGGCGCGAAGGCCAGGGGAGCAAACGGGAUUAGAUACCCUAGUAGUCC